Molecule: ribosomal RNA, 816 nt
Filed under: Triticum aestivum (bread wheat)
Lineage: Eukaryota; Viridiplantae; Streptophyta; Magnoliopsida; Poales; Poaceae
Description: partial small subunit ribosomal RNA
Source: RNAcentral
AUGGCGUGCUCUGCGGCGGUGACCUCGGUGGGGCUCGCAAGCAACAUGUUGCAGGUCAUGCCUUGGGGGUCGCACGUGUUGGUGGUGUCGACGGAGACCAUUGGGCCAUCUUACUAUGCGGGUAAUAAGCGCUCCAUGCAGUUGGUUAACAUCUUGUUCCGCAUAGGCGGUGCUGCCAAGUUGUUAUCGACUUCUAAGUCCAAGGCUCGGUUUCGUCUUGGACAUUUCACGCGGACGAUCACUGCGGCAAACAACGCUGCUUACCGAUGUGUUUAUCAAGAGGAAGAUGACAAGGGCAACUUAGGGAUUGCUCUCUCUAAAGACCUUAUGGAUGUUGCUAGGGACGCACUCAAGGACAAUAUCAUGACAAUCGGGCCUCUUGUCCUACCAGCAUCAGAGCUUCUCAAGUUAUUGUUCUUCUAUGUGGCGAAAAAGGUGCUCCGUUGGAGGAAGAUCAGACCGUACAUCCCCAACUUUUGUGUUGCAUUUGAGCAUUUCUGCAUCCAUGUCGGUGGACCGGCCGUUAUCACCUCAGUACAACGUGGUCUUAACCUAUCAGACAAGCAUGUUGAGGCGUCGAAGAUGACGCUGCAUCGAUUUGGAAACCAGUCGACCUCGUCGGUGUGGUAUGAGUUAUCAUACAUCGAGGCCAAAGGCCGGAUGAAGAAAGGCGACAUGGUAUGGAUGAUCGGAUUCGGUGCAGGGUAUGAGUGCAACACCGUUGGGUGGGUAUGUAUACAACCAUCUUCACGUAUGGAUGGACCCUGGGCUAGCUGCAUCCAUCGUUACCCAGUGGACGUCUCCAAGAGUGGUUAA